UACGGAGGGAGCUAGCGUUGUUCGGAAUUACUGGGCGUAAAGCGCACGUAGGCGGCUUUGUAAGUUAGAGGUGAAAGCCCGGGGCUCAACUCCGGAACUGCCUUUAAGACUGCAUCGCUUGAAUCCAGGAGAGGUGAGUGGAAUUCCGAGUGUAGAGGUGAAAUUCGUAGAUAUUCGGAAGAACACCAGUGGCGAAGGCGGCUCACUGGACUGGCAUUGACGCUGAGGUGCGAAAGCGUGGGGAGCAAACAGG
Molecule: ribosomal RNA, 253 nt
Filed under: uncultured bacterium
Lineage: Bacteria
Description: partial 16S ribosomal RNA
Rfam family: Bacterial small subunit ribosomal RNA
Source: RNAcentral